Molecule: long non-coding RNA, 564 nt
Organism: Hippocampus zosterae (dwarf seahorse)
Lineage: Eukaryota; Metazoa; Chordata; Actinopteri; Syngnathiformes; Syngnathidae
Exons: 3
Source: RefSeq, a predicted model, not a curated record
CGGCUGCGUUGACACAGUCCAGGCUGCUAAUUGACACGUGAACUGCACCGGUGCAGUUUAGACUGCAUCGGCUGCUUGGCACAGUACAGGAGGCUGCGCCACUUAGUCCAGGGGGCGUCGACUCAGUGCAGAGGGCGUUGACGCAGCAAAAGCCCGCCGCACAGUGUUUAUAAGGAAGUCGUUUGGCGACACAAAGCCACCUGCCGAAACAAGCCAGACCUCACUCACGCUCGCUUGUCGAAGUUCGUGUCAGUGCAGACUUCGUGUUCGUGCCUUGCCGAUUAUGGAGCAGAGACGCAAAUCAUCCGCCGUGUGGGACCAUUUUGAUGUCCUGGAGAAUAAGGUGAAAUGUCGAAUUUGCCAAGUCGAAUUGUCAUACACCAACAGAAGCACCUCCACUAUGCUGAGGCAUUAUCGGGCCAAGCAUGAGAAUGAAGUUCGCGAUACACCCAGUAUUACGCCAGGUUCCAGGAAGCAGCUGUACUGGAAGGACCAACACACUUCUUUCCCAAACCUCUCCCACCUCGCAAAGGAGUUCCUUUGUACGCCAGCCUCAUCCGUCCC